GAAAAAUCCAGAUGUGCCCAUACUCUUAUAAGUCGAAACUAUGAUUUGAUGACGAUUACUUACAUUGUUUUUAUCAAGACUAUAUUUGUAGUUCUGAUUAACUGGCGAGGAGAAAGUGAAGAGAAAAGAUCAACAGAAGAAAAAAUAGUGCUGGCAAAUCAGAGAAGCCAAGAUAUCAACUUAAAAAGCAAACAGAAGACCUGCAGUGAAUAAGCAAAAUAGGUCACAUGAUCGAGACUUCUCUGUCCCGUUCUAAAGAAAAGGAUUUGCUCUCUUGGCAUCCUGGUACCGCCUCUCCAGACCCUGACGGAGAGAUACUGUGGCGGAGGACUCAAACUCAGGACCUCGGAGAGCUCUCGGCUGGGCCUCCCUCCCAUCUCCCAUCGGCCUCCUUACCCCUGGCGCUGGGUCCAGCUGCAUCCCUGGGAACACGUGACUGCUUACUCCAUGUUCAGGGAGAACAGAUAAAGAGCAGGAGGAUUCAUGCUGCUACCAACCUCUACACAAUGAAAUGUCAUCAUUUUCCAGCCCAGUACACGGCUUCCCUGGUGGUCUCCAGCUGACUGAGAGGGUCUAAGGCUUCAACAUAGUAUUUCCCCACGAUCAGGAGCAGAAGACACUAGUAUUAGCCAAGCCCAGGAAGAUGGCUGCAAAGUAUACUUCUGCAAAGAUAUUAAAUGAACUUUAACUUUGUUUAAUCCUUCCAGUUAGAAUGAUGUCCUUGCAGACCAGAGAAGCUUAUCCUGAUCAGUGUUAUUGGGUUGAAUAUCAAUCAGAGGUGCACAGGCAACUGGCGGAUCCUGUGGGUAGGAAGGCAGCGGUGUGUUAAUGUUGCUGUCUGUUAACAGCGUUAAGUGGUUCACGGGGCCGAGAAGGAUUAUUACCUGACACAUGUGUGUUCUUGCUGAACUCAGAAGGUGACAGCUGAGAUGCAACCGAAAUUAACUGUCUCUGAUGUCACUACAUGGAAAUAAAGGUCAGCUCGGCCCAACAGCAGAAGAAAGGGCAGAGCACAGGAAGCUCCGGGCGAGCAGGGCUCGGGAGCCAGCACCCCGUCUCCAGGGAGCAGUACCCUUGUCUGUGCCCACCCUUCUUCCCCGGGUCUUCAGGGAGAUGACCGUGCUCUCCCCACGCACCUCUCCCGGGCCGUCGACCACCCCGUUUGGCCUACAGGAUCCAGGCCGGCUGUGGUCGUUCACAGUGAUGUGUCAACUUGGCCUGGGCAAGAACUGCGCAGUGGAUUCGUAAACUCUGGGCAUGUCUGUGGAAGGCUGAUGUGAAGGCCAGAACCUGAG
Heterocephalus glaber (naked mole-rat) is the source of this 1295-nucleotide long non-coding RNA. The record is from Ensembl. NCBI's taxonomy places the organism in Eukaryota, Metazoa, Chordata, Mammalia, Rodentia, Bathyergidae.